RNAcentral lists this ribosomal RNA (721 nucleotides) under Scadoxus multiflorus. RNAcentral's name for it is "eukaryotic LSU rRNA". The stretch from base 290 to 445 matches the Rfam family "5.8S ribosomal RNA". Lineage: Eukaryota; Viridiplantae; Streptophyta; Magnoliopsida; Asparagales; Amaryllidaceae. The record is from RNAcentral.
GUAGCAGGUUUCCGUAGGUGACCUGCGGAAGGAUAUUGUCGAGGCCCGAACGGACGAUCGUGAACUCGUAAAGCACCUGUGGGGAGGGCAAGGGGGAGGUGAUCGCCGGCUUCCUUUACCUCCUUGGGUGCCCCCGGCCGCCGCCGCCUUGCACAGUGUGCAUGGCGAGCAGCGGGAACAACUUUCCGGCGCCGUGUGCGCCAAGGAGCAUACCCAUUCGGAGAGUGGAGCUUGCCGCACGCCUUGUGCUGCCGCACGCGACGCGAUCCUGGUAACGUCUAACCUGCACGACUCUCGGCAACGGAUAUCUUGGCUCUCGCAUCGAUGAAGAACGUAGCGAAAUGCGAUACUUGGUGUGAAUUGCAGAAUCCCGUGAACCAUCGAGUCUUUGAACGCAAGUUGCGCCCGAGGCUAUCUGGCCGAGGGCACGCCUGCCUGGGCGUCACGCCUACCGACGCUCCGUGCCUCUUGCACCAUCGCCUUGUGCGGUCGGCGACAGGCACGGAUGCGGAGAUUGGCCCCCCACGCAUCGCUGCGCGGCGGGUCGAAGUGCGGGCCGUCGACUGGGUUAGACGCGGCGAGUGGUGGAUCGACACGCACGACGCUGCUGCUUAGCUCGGGCGGUGCACCGGGGGAACCCAUGCCGGCGGGCGCUAUGUGAGCGUCCCUUGGAAUACGACCCCAGGUCAGGCGGGGACACCCGCUGAGUUUAAGCUUAUAA